CCUACGGGGGGCUGCAGUGGGGAAUAUUGGACAAUGGGGGCAACCCUGAUCCAGCCAUGCCGCGUGUGUGAAGAAGGCCCUCGGGUUGUAAAGCACUUUCAGUGAGGAAGAACGCCUGGUGGUUAAUACCCAUCAGGAAAGACAUCACUCACAGAACAAGCACCGGCUAACUCCGUGCCAGCAGCCGCGGUAAUACGGAGGGUGCGAGCGUUAAUCGGAAUUACUGGGCGUAAAGCGCGCGUAGGUGGCUUGAUAAGCCGGUUGUGAAAGCCCCGGGCUCAACCUGGGAACGGCAUCCGGAACUGUCAAGCUAGAGUGCAGGAGAGGAAGGUGGAAUUCCCGGUGUAGCGGUGAAAUGCGUAGAGAUCGGGAGGAAUACCAGUGGCGAAGGCGGCCUUCUGGACUGAAACUGACGCUGAGGUGCGAAAGCGUGGGUAGCAAACAGGAUUAGAUACCCUUGUAGUC
This 465-nucleotide ribosomal RNA is filed under the name Vreelandella stevensii. RNAcentral's name for it is "partial 16S ribosomal RNA". It matches the Rfam family "Bacterial small subunit ribosomal RNA", at positions 338 to 795 of the family's 1533-position model. The record is from RNAcentral. Lineage: Bacteria; Pseudomonadati; Pseudomonadota; Gammaproteobacteria; Oceanospirillales; Halomonadaceae.